RNAcentral lists this transfer RNA (75 nucleotides) under Thermotogota bacterium. RNAcentral's name for it is "Thermotogae bacterium (hydrothermal vent metagenome) tRNA-Pro". It matches the Rfam family "tRNA". From Rfam's summary of the family: Transfer RNA (tRNA) molecules are approximately 80 nucleotides in length. Their secondary structure includes four short double-helical elements and three loops (D, anti-codon, and T loops). Lineage: Bacteria; Thermotogati; Thermotogota. The record is from RNAcentral.
CGGGGCGUAGCGCAGUCUGGUUAGCGCGCCCGGUUCGGGACCGGGAGGUCGGCGGUUCAAAUCCGCUCGCCCCGA